UGGAUAGUUGCUCCUCAUCCCCGCA
RNAcentral lists this unclassified non-coding RNA (25 nucleotides) under Mus musculus (house mouse). RNAcentral describes it as "oocyte_clustered_small_RNA13820". Lineage: Eukaryota; Metazoa; Chordata; Mammalia; Rodentia; Muridae. The record is from RNAcentral.